This 67-nucleotide transfer RNA is filed under the name Staphylinoidea sp. 12 KM-2017. Its description in RNAcentral is "tRNA-Ile". Lineage: Eukaryota; Metazoa; Arthropoda; Insecta; Coleoptera. The record is from RNAcentral.
AAUGAAGUGCCUGACAAGAAAAGGACUAUUUUGAUAGAAUAGAAAAUGUUCUCACGAACCUUCAUUA